Molecule: ribosomal RNA, 422 nt
Filed under: uncultured bacterium
Lineage: Bacteria
Description: bacterial SSU rRNA
Rfam family: Bacterial small subunit ribosomal RNA
Source: RNAcentral
UCUUCCGCAAUGGACGAAAGUCUGACGGAGCAACGCCGCGUGAGUGAUGAAGGUUUUCGGAUCGUUAAACUCUGUUGUUAGGGAAGAACAAGUACCGUUCGAAUAGGGCGGUACCCUGACGGUACCUAACCACAAAGCCACGCCUAACUACGUGCCAGCAGCCGCGGUAACACGUAGGUGGCAAGCGUUGUCCGGAAUUAUUGGGCGUAAAGCGCGCGCAGGGGGUUUCUUAAGUCUGAUGUGAAAGCCCCCGGCUCAACCGGGGAGGGUCAUUGGAAACUGGGGAACUUGAGUGCAGAAGAGGAGAGUGGAAUUCCACGUGUAGCGGUGAAAUGCGUAGAGAUGUGGAGGAACACCAGUGGCGAAGGCGACUCUAUGGUCUGUAACUGCCGCUGAGGCGCGAAAGCGUGGGGAGCGAACAG